Molecule: ribosomal RNA, 440 nt
Filed under: uncultured bacterium
Lineage: Bacteria
Description: partial 16S ribosomal RNA
Rfam family: Bacterial small subunit ribosomal RNA
Source: RNAcentral
CCUACGGGGGGCAGCAGUGGGGAAUAUUGGACAAUGGGGGAAACCCUGAUCCAGCGACGCCGCGUGAGUGAAGAAGUAUUUCGGUACGUAAAGCUCUAUCAGCAGGAAAGAAAAUGACGGUACCUGACUAAGAAGCCCCGGCUAACUACGUGCCAGCAGCCGCGGUAAUACGUAGGGGGCAAGCGUUAUCCGGAUUUACUGGGUGUAAAGGGAGCGUAGACGGCAGCGCAAGUCUGGAGUGAAAUGCCGGGGGCCAACCCCGGAACUGCUCUGGAAACUGUGAAGCUGGAGUGCAGGAGAGGUAAGCGGAAUUCCUGGUGUAGCGGUGAAAGGCGUAGAUAUCAGGAGGAACACCGGCGGCGAAGGCGGCUUACUGGACUGUAACUGACGUUGAGGCUCGAAGGCGUGGGGAGCAAACAGGAUUAGAUACCCGGGUAGUC